CCUGGGAACUGCGUUNUGAACUGGGUAGCUAGAGUAUNUCAGAGGGGGGUAGAAUUCCACGUGUAGCAGUGAAAUGCGUAGAGAUGUGGAGGAAUACCGAUGGCGAAGGCAGCCCCCUGGGAUAAUACUGACGUUCAUGCUCGAAAGCGUGGGUAGCAAACAGGAUUAGAUACCCUGGUAGUCCACGCCCUAAACGAUGUCGAUUAGCUGUUGGGCAGCUUGACUGCUUAGUAGCGUAGCUAACGCGUGAAAUCGACCGCCUGGGGAGUACGGUCGCAAGAUUAAAACUCAAAGGAAUUGACGGGGACCCGCACAAGCGGUGGAUGAUGUGGAUUAAUUCGAUGCAACGCGAAGAACCUUACCUGGUCUUGACAUGUACGGAACCUUCCAGAGACGGAAGGGUGCCUUCGGGAGCCGUAACACAGGUGCUGCAUGGCUGUCGUCAGCUCGUGUCGUGAGAUGUUGGGUUAAGUCCCGCAACGAGCGCAACCCUUGUCAUUAGUUGCCAUCAUUCAGUUGGGCACUCUAAUGAGACUGCCGGUGACAAACCGGAGGAAGGUGGGGAUGACGUCAAGUCCUCAUGGCCCUUAUGACCAGGGCUUCACACGUCAUACAAUGGUCGGUACAAAGGGUAGCCAAGCCGCGAGGCGGAGCCAAUCUCAUAAAACCGAUCGUAGUCCGGAUUGCACUCUGCAACUCGAGUGCAUGAAGUCGGAAUCGCUAGUAAUCGCAGGUCAGCAUACUGCGGUGAAUACGUUCCCGGGUCUUGUACACACCGCCCGUCACACCAUGGGAGUGGGGGAUACCAGAAGUAGGUAGGGUAACCGCAAGGAGC
Molecule: ribosomal RNA, 835 nt
Filed under: uncultured bacterium
Lineage: Bacteria
Description: bacterial SSU rRNA
Rfam family: Bacterial small subunit ribosomal RNA
Source: RNAcentral